CGGGUGAGUAACACGUAAGUAAUCUACCUUCGAGUGGGGAAUAACGUCCGGAAACGGACGCUAAUACCGCAUAAUGCAGCGGCACCUUAUGGUGACAGUUGUUAAAGGAGCAAUUCGCUUGAAGAGGAGCUUGCGGCAGAUUAGCUAGUUGGUAAGGUAAUGGCUUACCAAGGCUACGAUCUGUAACCGGUCUAAGAGGACGGUCGGUCACACUGACACUGAAUAACGGGUCAG
RNAcentral lists this ribosomal RNA (234 nucleotides) under uncultured bacterium. RNAcentral describes it as "partial 16S ribosomal RNA". It matches the Rfam family "Bacterial small subunit ribosomal RNA", at positions 103 to 334 of the family's 1533-position model. The record is from RNAcentral.